CUAGCCGUAAACGAUGUAGACUUGGUGUCGGUGGGUUAAAAGCCAUCGGUACCGUAGCUAACGCGAUAAGUCUACCGCCUGGGGAUUACGGCCGCAAGGCUAAAACUCAAAGGAAUUGACGGGUCCCCGCACAAGCAGCGGAGCGUGUGGUUUAAUUCGAUGUUACACGAAGAACCUUACCUGGGUUUGACAUACAGGUGGUAGGAAACCGAAAGGCAACCGACUCUUCGGAGAGCCUGUACAGGUGAUGCAUGGCUGUCGUCAGCUCGUGCCGUGAGGUGUCCGGUUAAGUCCGGUAACGAGCGCAACCCUUGCUGUAUGUUACAUGUGUCAUACGGGACUGCCGGUAUAAAGCCG
Molecule: ribosomal RNA, 357 nt
Filed under: uncultured bacterium
Lineage: Bacteria
Description: bacterial SSU rRNA
Rfam family: Bacterial small subunit ribosomal RNA
Source: RNAcentral